GCUUUUGAUACUCCAAAUUACACAAACAACGCUCUAAGUGUUUGGACUUCUAAUGCCUAGCAUACAUCAGAUGUUUUAAAGCCCAAGCCCAGAACCAGAGAAAUGGCUCAGCUGUUAAGUGCACAUGUUACUCUUGCAAAUGACCCAGGUUCCAUUCCCAGCACCCAUGUUGGACUUCUGGCCUCUUUGGGUACCUGCACCCAUGUUUCCAGACUCAUAAGUAAAAAUAAAUCUGUAAGAAAAUAAAUUCCCAUUCACAAAACACAAGAAUUUCCCUUUGCUUUCCCGCAAAUACCCACUUUUAACCACUUGUUUGACAGCUGUCUAAGCCCUUUCCUGGUUGUCUCUGCCAAGACUCCUGUGAGUGCAUGCUACUUCAAUCUUCCUUUGCCUCUCGAUGCUGGACUGAGACGUCACCCGUUCUAUGACAUCAUCCAUUCUAUGACAUCAUCCAUUCUGUGACGUCAUCCAUUCUAUGACUGACACCCUCCCGGCUCUGAGAGGUCUAAAUGCCAUAUUUUUCUCCAAUGCCUUUCUUGUCUUGUUUGGUUUUCCACACUUAACCCAGAAUGUAUGUGGAAUGUGGCUUAAGAAUCCAGAAUUUGAAUUUCUGAAUAUUCAAAGACUUCUAAGUUGGACUGUAUGGCGCCAUCUUAAAACCUGCCAAGGGGAGGACACAGAGCCUGAGUCAUGGACCGCACUGAUGUCUGCUUGCUCCACUGACAGACAUUUACUCAGUGACAAUGCUUACCAAUCACGCUCCAUGAUGCCCCAUCUUACCAUGGCCUCACAGCCAGUAGAGCCAAGGACUGAGGGCUGUGAAGGAAAUAAAUUUCUCCCUUAAGUUGUUUUCAGACAUCGUGUCAUGGUGAUGAGAAAACUUUCUUACACAGUAGUUCCCUGACCUUUGUGUGCUGUCUCAGGAG
RNAcentral lists this long non-coding RNA (926 nucleotides) under Rattus norvegicus (Norway rat). RNAcentral's name for it is "long non-coding RNA NONRATT032453". The record is from RNAcentral. Lineage: Eukaryota; Metazoa; Chordata; Mammalia; Rodentia; Muridae.